UACGUAGGGGGCAAGCGUUGUCCGGAAUUAUUGGGCGUAAAGAGCGUGUAGGCGGUCCGGAAGUCGGCUGUGAAAGUCCAGGGCUCAACCCUGGGAUGCCGGUCGAUACUGCCGGACUAGAGUUCGGAAGAGGCGAGUGGAAUUCCCGGUGUAGCGGUGAAAUGCGCAGAUAUCGGGAGGAACACCAGUGGCGAAGGCGACUUCCUGGCCUGUUCUUGACGCUGAGGCGCGAAAGCUAGGGUAGCAAACGGG
RNAcentral lists this ribosomal RNA (252 nucleotides) under uncultured bacterium. RNAcentral describes it as "partial 16S ribosomal RNA". It matches the Rfam family "Bacterial small subunit ribosomal RNA", at positions 524 to 776 of the family's 1533-position model. The record is from RNAcentral.